AAAUUAGCAGACCUCGUUAAACAUAACCAGACGAUGAUAUUGUGUAGAAUACAACCUCGUGGCACAGGGCAGUGGCCAGACGAUCUCUUCGGACCAAUUAAUAAUAUUUCAUUAAUAAAUUAAUGCCAGAUCAUAACGGCACCUCUGAUUGGCCACUACUAUAUGACACACUCAGCCUAUUAGUAGCUGUUUUGCCAAAUCUGUUGCGACUGCUUGGGUUGUUGACCCUGAGACCCUCCCAGAGACGCGUCCCUGAGAGUUUGCUGUUGGCCGUCCAGUGAUAUACCUG
Molecule: unclassified non-coding RNA, 289 nt
Filed under: Hevea brasiliensis (rubber tree)
Lineage: Eukaryota; Viridiplantae; Streptophyta; Magnoliopsida; Malpighiales; Euphorbiaceae
Source: RNAcentral